AUUGAACGCUGGGGCAGGCUUAACACAUGCAAGUCGAGCGGAGCGAGGGUGCUUGCACCUUAGCUUAGCGGCGGACGGGUGAGUAAUGCUUAGGAAUCUGCCUAUUAGUGGGGGACAACAUUCCGAAAGGAAUGCUAAUACCGCAUACGCCCUACGGGAGAAAGCAGGGGACCUUCGGGCCUUGCGCUAUCAGAUGAGCCUAGGUCGGAUUAGCUAGUUGGUGAGGUAAUGGCUCACCAAGGCGACGAUCCGUAACUGGUCUGAGAGGAUGAUCAGUCACACUGGAACUGAGACACGGUCCAGACUCCUACGGGAGGCAGCAGUGGGGAAUAUUGGACAAUGGGCGAAAGCCUGAUCCAGCCAUGCCGCGUGUGUGAAGAAGGUCUUCGGAUUGUAAAGCACUUUAAGUUGGGAGGAAGGGUUGUAGAUUAAUACUCUGCAAUUUUGACGUUACCGACAGAAUAAGCACCGGCUAACUCUGUGCCAGCCGCCGCGGUAA
This 499-nucleotide ribosomal RNA is filed under the name uncultured bacterium. RNAcentral's name for it is "partial 16S ribosomal RNA". It matches the Rfam family "Bacterial small subunit ribosomal RNA", at positions 30 to 523 of the family's 1533-position model. The record is from RNAcentral.